Long non-coding RNA from Danio rerio (zebrafish), 1056 nucleotides. The record is from Ensembl. Lineage: Eukaryota; Metazoa; Chordata; Actinopteri; Cypriniformes; Danionidae.
GACUUCCAAACCAGCUCAGCCAUUCAAACAGACCACUUACAGCUCCUGAACAAACCAUGAGUUCUGACGACGAAAAAGUAUUUGACACUUGCAUGAAAAUAUGGCGUGUGAAGAGCAAACGCAAAAAAAAACAAGCCUCUGAUAACUUCUUAGGCAAAGUUGCAAACAUAGCAAGUGCAGCCACUGAAAACAAUAAAGAGAAACUCCAGGAAGCAGUCCUCAAAAAAGGUGGCCGUUACCUUUUUCGCCGUUGGUUUGGCAGCAAUGACGAAUAACUGGAGGAGCUGAGCAGACGCUGAGCAGGAGGAUCCCGAGCGUGAUCAAUCUGUGCUGAGUAAAGGGUUUCUGGACACAACACAACAGCUAAGAUGAGUUCAGCUCCUGUCAGGAACACUAUAAGCAGACGUCAUCAUGACGACCAUCACAACUGUACAGAACAACACAGCUUCAGCCGUCUUCUAGAAUGCGUCUAUAUAAUAUAUGAAGUCAGAGUUAUUCUCCCCCUGUAUAUUUUACCCCAGUUUCUGUGUAACAGAGAGCAGAUUUCUCCACACAUCUCUAAUCAUAACAUAACUCAACAUAACUCUGACUUCAUCUGUAUAUAUUUAUUCCUCUGCAAUGCUUUCUAGUUUAUGAACAUCCUUCAUUUAAUAUGUCUGAUAUUUGCUGUGACGGAUGAUGCAACACUCCUUUAUGCAUUAAUUUCUAUUAUUCUAAAUGGAUUAAUCUUUUGAAUCUCUCUUGUACUUUUUAUUGAUUGUUGAUUUUGAAUAAAUGUUCUAUUGGUGUUUUGCCUUUAGUCAAACCUUUUAACUUGUAUUUAAUGUCUACAAUGCAAAUCCAGUCAGAUCCUCUUUAUCUGGUAAACAAAGCAAGUGUCUGAUAUAAUAUCUCUACUGAAAGACAGAAUAUAUGACUGCACACACUGUAUUGUACAUAAACCAGAUGAACAUUUACACAUUAGUCAAUAAUAUUACUGUAAUUAAUGUAAAAACUGAAUAAAUAUAGAUGUACACACAUUUACACACGUCAAUAAACUGAAUCAAUGAUGAGCUC